UACGGAGGGAGCUAGCGUUGUUCGGAAUUACUGGGCGUAAAGCGCACGUAGGCGGCGACUCAAGUCAGAGGUGAAAGCCUGGAGCUCAACUCCAGAACUGCCUUUGAAACUAGGUCGCUAGAAUCUUGGAGAGGCGAGUGGAAUUCCGAGUGUAGAGGUGAAAUUCGUAGAUAUUCGGAAGAACACCAGUGGCGAAGGCGACUCGCUGGACAAGUAUUGACGCUGAGGUGCGAAAGCGUGGGGAGCAAACAGGAUUAGAAACCCGUGUAGU
This 271-nucleotide ribosomal RNA is filed under the name uncultured bacterium. RNAcentral's name for it is "partial 16S ribosomal RNA". It matches the Rfam family "Bacterial small subunit ribosomal RNA", at positions 524 to 794 of the family's 1533-position model. The record is from RNAcentral.